Molecule: long non-coding RNA, 202 nt
Filed under: Phoenix dactylifera (date palm)
Lineage: Eukaryota; Viridiplantae; Streptophyta; Magnoliopsida; Arecales; Arecaceae
Description: long non-coding RNA (PDAC_LNC003077)
Source: RNAcentral
AUUGGGACCGGAGAAAUUUUCGCAGGAUAUCAGCAUAGGUUAUUACUCUUGAUGGUGCCAGAUUCGUGAUCAGGAAUCACGACUGACUCACGUAUGAUUGUCGCACGAGGCCGCAGCAUUGCCAAUUUGACGGUGAUAAAGGUUGAGCUAGAAGGAUAACACUUAUGCGAAACGGAUGAUGAGCGCAGAGCAGAUCCUUCUU